RNAcentral lists this ribosomal RNA (499 nucleotides) under uncultured bacterium. RNAcentral's name for it is "bacterial SSU rRNA". It matches the Rfam family "Bacterial small subunit ribosomal RNA", at positions 28 to 524 of the family's 1533-position model. The record is from RNAcentral.
GACGAACGCUGGCGGCGUGCUUAACACAUGCAAGUCGAGCGGUAAGGCCCUUUCGGGGGUACACGAGCGGCGAACGGGUGAGUAACACGUGGGUGACCUGCCCUCAGCUCUGGGAUAAGCCUGGGAAACCGGGUCUAAUACCGGAUAUGACUCCAUGACGCAUGUUGUGGGGUGGAAAGCCUUGUGCGGCUGAGGAUGGGCCCGCGGCCUAUCAGCUUGUUGGUGGGGUGAUGGCCUACCAAGGCGACGACGGGUAGCCGGCCUGAGAGGGCGACCGGCCACACUGGGACUGAGACACGGCCCAGACUCCUACGGGAGGCAGCAGUGGGGAAUCUUGCGCAAUGGGCGAAAGCCUGACGCAGCGACGCCGCGUGAAGGAUGAAAUCCCUCGGGAUGUAAACUUCGCAAGAACGGGAAGAAUAAGCGAGAGUUAAUAUCUCUCGUGAUGACGGUACCGUUUGUAAGCUCCGGCUAACUCCGUGCCAGCCGCCGCCGUAAG